GAUGAACGCUGGCGGCGUGCCUAAUACAUGCAAGUCGAGCGAACGGACGAGAAGCUUGCUUCUCUGAUGUUAGCGGCGGACGGGUGAGUAACACGUGGAUAACCUACCUAUAAGACUGGGAUAACUUCGGGAAACCGGAGCUAAUACCGGAUAAUAUUUUGAACCGCAUGGUUCAACAGUGAAAGGCGGUCUUGCUGUCACUUAUAGAUGGAUCCGCGCUGCAUUAGCUAGUUGGUAAGGUAACGGCUUACCAAGGCAACGAUGCAUAGCCGACCUGAGAGGGUGAUCGGCCACACUGGAACUGAGACACGGUCCAGACUCCUACGGGAGGCAGCAGUAGGGAAUCUUCCGCAAUGGGCGAAAGCCUGACGGAGCAACGCCGCGUGAGUGAUGAAGGUCUUCGGAUCGUAAAACUCUGUUAUUAGGGAAGAACAUAUGUGUAAGUAACUGUGCACAUCUUGACGGUACCUAAUCAGAAAGCCACGGCUAACUACGUG
This 497-nucleotide ribosomal RNA is filed under the name uncultured bacterium. RNAcentral describes it as "partial 16S ribosomal RNA". It matches the Rfam family "Bacterial small subunit ribosomal RNA", at positions 28 to 507 of the family's 1533-position model. The record is from RNAcentral.